GGGCGCGGCCGCGGUGACCGCGGUGACCGCCAGCCUUCUCCUGCAAAUAGAGGCGGCGGAUUCAGAGGACGCCCUCGACAGCAACAGCAACAGCAGGUACGCGAGCAGCAGCAUGACUAUCCUGAGUGCCAGAUAUGCUAUAGACAUCAUCCAGAAGGUGCACGUGUCUGCUGGUGGCGCUAUGAAGAGAAUGAUCAAGAAGAGAAGGAGGCGCAUGCUGUCUCCUAUGGCGUGGACACUAAUUGGUACGCAGACAGUGCAGCAACAAAUCACAUCACAGGUGAACUUGACAAGCUAACAGUACGGGAGAAGUACAACGGAGGCGACCAAAUUCGUAAGGCAAGCGGUUCU
Molecule: ribosomal RNA, 351 nt
Filed under: Triticum aestivum (bread wheat)
Lineage: Eukaryota; Viridiplantae; Streptophyta; Magnoliopsida; Poales; Poaceae
Description: partial small subunit ribosomal RNA
Source: RNAcentral